This is a long non-coding RNA of Rhopalosiphum maidis (corn leaf aphid), 2535 nucleotides long. RefSeq lists it as uncharacterized. The transcript has 7 exons. The record is from RefSeq and is a predicted model, not a curated record. Lineage: Eukaryota; Metazoa; Arthropoda; Insecta; Hemiptera; Aphididae.
AUCAAAUUUCAAGUUUAAUUUUAAGAUAUUCAUUAUAAUUAUACUAAUCACUACUUAUAUUUAAUUUUAAUUUAAAUUGAUUGACUCAUUUCGAUAGGUAUCACUGUAAAAACUUAAUUACUUAUUAUAUGAUUUUGAUAAAAUACUCUUCAUUUUUGUAAAAUUUAUUUGGGUCUAUGGUUUGUUAAAAAGGUUUUUUUUUUGUGCUUUUGGGUGGCAUUUAGGUCAUAUUUUUCGAUACAGCCCUUGGUUGAUAUUCGGACGGUGAACGGCGCGAUUAUCAAAUAAAUACUACAUUUUUUACUGGGCGACUUGAGUGCGCGUACCGAUCUAUAGGUACAUACAUACAUGAUACAUAUAUGGCGCGGCAUAUUAUGUAUACGGUGACGACGGUCGUCAAUGCACGCGCAUGGGUCUGAAAAUCAUACUAUUACUGUCACGCAAAUCACGUGUGACGUGUCCAAGAGAUUUAAUGCGUUUACCGGCGGAGUAUAAGGAAGCAGACUGCCGUGUACGGGAUUGGAAACUUUUCCGAGGCCGUGCGGAAAUCUAUGACAAAAUCGCUCUCUGACGAUACGAGUGAACGGCGAGAAACGUCAAGGAUGAGGAGCUGGCUAUAGUGCUCUCGCGUGGUGCGAACAACGACGAAUUGAUCAUCGGCGGCACAGUCAUAAUGCGACACGCGACGUGACGCUUGUUGCGCUGCGAACAAAUGGUCCGCGGUUGAACGCGGAAUGUCGUGAUUUUAAGUUCCGACUUGUCUGGGCAAAAAACUCAACAUUAAGUUAUGAUAAUGACCACAGACAUAUAACACGUCAUAUUUUUAGUGCAAAAUUUCUUCACAGCGGAAGAAAAAUUAACAGUAAUUUAUUUGAUGAGAUAUAUAUUUCACACAAAAUAUGUUACGACAAAAAAAUUGAAAAAAUAUAUGGUCCACAUAGAUCUGUUCAAACUAUUGUAGUUAGAGGGUUAUUGAGCAAUUGAAAACAACUGAUAUUUUAUAACUACGAUACUGUUAUCACAAAAGAAUUACUUUAUAACAUAAUAGAUACACUUACAUAAAUAUAGUUUUAAUGUAAUCGCUAUUGUGAGUGUUAUGGGUUCUUCAAAUGUUGGAUUGUGGAAAUGUUUGGUAAAGAUUUGGGUGUUUCUAUAACAAUUACAUAAUUUAAACACCCGAUGACUAAUAAAAAUGUAUAUGUGUUUGCUGAUGUGUCGCAUAUGUUUAAACUUGCAAGAAACUAUUUUAUCGAUCAGUAAGUUGUCAAUGAAUAUCUGAAAUCAUAAAAAGUUACUUAACAGUUAUAUUAUAAUAUCACCAUUGUAGGUGCUCGUCUAGAGGGUUCAUUUUACCUAAUGGAAAAUAUAUCGAGAAAAAUAUAUUGCAAUAGUUAAUCAAGUUAAACUAAGGAAAAGAUUUCAAGUUGGCAUACAAGAUUUCUAACCGUCACAUUUCUUUAGAGGGUAUAUCUCGAACGAAUGUACAGUUAGCUGCAAACUUGUUUUCAAAUACAGUUGUGAAAGCCAUAUUGUUUUGUGGAAACAACAAAUACAUUAAUGGUUACAAUUGGAAAGAAGCUUCAGACACUAUAAGUCUAUUUAAUGACUGGUUUGACUUAAUGAAUACCAGUCAAAUGUUUGAUAAAAACACUUCAAGCUAUGGGCUAGAUGAAAAAAACAAACCAAGUUUUUGAACAAAAUGAGUGAAUUUAUAUUAAACAUGAGGGCUCAUGGGAAGAAGUCAAUUCUGCCAUUCCAAAAAGGUAUUGUAAUUUCCAAUACAUUGCUGAUAAAUUUAUUUGGAGAUUUGAAAGAAUAUGAUGUUUCCUACAUUAUUACAAGGAAAUUAAAUUAAGAUAUAGUAGAAAAUCUUUUUAGCUACCUCAAAGGAAUGGUAGAAGCGGCAAAUAACUGUAUAACAGCAUUAGAUUUUAUGUAUUGUCUUAGGUGGUAUAUUUUAAGUAAACACUCCAAUGUUGUGAUUACCGAAAAUAAAAUCACUGAAGAUGGAACAGAUGAGAACAUACUUAACGCUAAUGAAUGUUUAACCGAUGAAAUUAUUGAAUUUACUAAUUUAAUAACAAAAUCUAACCAUCAAUUUCAAGAAAUGGAUAAUGAUUUGGCUCAAAUUGAAACAACUUUUGGAACAAGCAGUGUUCAAAUUUAAAACACUUGUAUGGAAUAUGGAUUUGUUAAGUCAAUUUGAAUCUGAGGCCUUUUGCAUAGAUGACAAUUCAAAGGCCUUGAGAAGGAAGCAAUAUGUUUUAUAUGUAAAAAAAUAUCCUCUAAUGGCAUCGGAUGAGCAAACCACCAAUGAUGAAAAUUGGAUUACAUAUCUGUCCAGAGGGGGGGGGGGUAUCCAUCCAUGCAAUUAAUUCAAGUCGCAAACAUGAUGGAAAAGUUGUUCAUUGAUCAUCAUGGAAAUCAGCUAUCAAAAGAAGGUAUAAUGAAGAAAUUAAUAUAUUCUUUAUUUCUUUAAUAGAAAAAAUUAAACUUACAACACUAGAUGUACCAGUUGAAGUAGUUCGGUGUCGU